GUGGGGAAUAUUGGACAAUGGGGGGAACCCUGAUCCAGCCAUGCCGCGUGUGUGAAGAAGGCCUUUUGGUUGUAAAGCACUUUAAGCGAGGAGGAGGCUACCGAGAUUAAUACUCUUGGAUAGUGGACGUUACUCGCAGAAUAAGCACCGGCUAACUCUGUGCCAGCAGCCGCGGUAAUACAGAGGGUGCGAGCGUUAAUCGGAUUUACUGGGCGUAAAGCGUGCGUAGGCGGCCAUUUAAGUCAAAUGUGAAAUCCCCGAGCUUAACUUGGGAAUUGCAUUCGAUACUGGAUGGCUAGAGUAUGGGAGAGGAUGGUAGAAUUCCAGGUGUAGCGGUGAAAUGCGUAGAGAUCUGGAGGAAUACCGAUGGCGAAGGCAGCCAUCUGGCCUAAUACUGACGCUGAGGUACGAAGGCAUGGGGAGCAAACAGGAUUAGAUACCCUGGUAGUCC
Molecule: ribosomal RNA, 451 nt
Filed under: uncultured bacterium
Lineage: Bacteria
Description: partial 16S ribosomal RNA
Rfam family: Bacterial small subunit ribosomal RNA
Source: RNAcentral